Molecule: long non-coding RNA, 855 nt
Organism: Ictidomys tridecemlineatus (thirteen-lined ground squirrel)
Lineage: Eukaryota; Metazoa; Chordata; Mammalia; Rodentia; Sciuridae
Source: RefSeq, a predicted model, not a curated record
UUGUGACCAUAGAAAUGCUUUCUUGGUAUCAAAGGGAUCUGCUUCUCUUUGCAGUUCCCCUCCUCAGAGGCCGGGCUGGGAACAGCGGGGUUUGGCACGGUCCUCUCAUCCUGCUUUUCUUCUUCAGUAACUACUUUGGCUGACUUCUUUCCAACUCCUUUCUCGAAAUCCCCACCAGUCCUGACGCAGACCCUCCGUGGCUGGUGGAUGCCAAGUAUCAUUUGGAGAUGGCUGGGGAUGUGCAGAUUUCUCACUUGAGCUGCUUAUGCAGGGUCUGCACCGUCCUGACAGCAAUCGAAGGACUUGGCCACCACUGCGGAGCUCCAGUCUGGUGCUGGCGUGAAUGCUCAGCACCCAGACGAGCUGCUUUCAUCCUGGAAACCCUUCCUGAGCCCCUGGGAAGCAUCUGGCACUGUUCUAGCUGCGGAGGAUGCAGCAGUGAAGACGUCCAAAGUCCCUGCCCUUGAGCUAAUACAUGCUGAUCACCAGCAAUCCCAGACAUUGAAUCUGCAUUUCUUCAGACAGUUCUGACCAAGACCUUGCAAAACCUAGGAAGCUUCAAGCCCCACUUUAGAGGUGUUUGCUUUCUGAAGGCACCAGCUCAUCUUGGGUCACACACAUGUGCACCUGCAUACACCCACUCAUAGAAUUGCUGGUAUUCAUUAUGCUCAAUGCUUUUGAUCAGUCUUUCUUUAUGUUUUACACUUGCAAAAUUGGACCCAGGCCACCUCACCCCAACAACACAUCUGAAGAUAGCCAGGAGUUUGCAGGCUCCAACUUGAAAAGAUACUCCUCUCAGUUCAGGGCUUGGCAAAUUGUGAUCUGAUUGUUUUUUUUUUUGUAAAUAAAGUUUUA